RNAcentral lists this small RNA (138 nucleotides) under Escherichia coli. RNAcentral's name for it is "RtT sRNA". It matches the Rfam family "RtT RNA". From Rfam's summary of the family: This family represents a bacterial cis-regulatory element known as RtT RNA. The exact function of RtT is unknown although it is thought that it may be involved in changing the cellular response in relation to amino acid starvation. The record is from RNAcentral. Lineage: Bacteria; Pseudomonadati; Pseudomonadota; Gammaproteobacteria; Enterobacterales; Enterobacteriaceae.
CAUAAUGCACUCCAGGGGGGGAUGAGAAGCCCCGACCGGGGUUCGACAACUGGCGACAGCCAGUUGGACAGACCACGAACGCAGUGAGUGGGCUGCCCGCAGGGCGAGCGAAGCGAGUCAAUCCCCCCCUCACCGCCA